AAAGAAAAAGAGGUGAUAAUAAUAUCUGUCCGGACUGAGCUUUAUCUCAAACAUGGGAAAAAGUACCAGAAGGAAGCCAUCCAAAAGAAAUUUUGCAACCUAAAACGCCUUCACCCUGAACUUGUGAAAGAAUAUAGUCAGCGAUUACACCCAGGGGUUCCUGUUCCUUCUGUGAGACAUAGAAAAUCAAAGAAGGUGGUCGCAACGGGUGUGGAGGAAGAGUCGGCUAGGCAGAGGAGGAGCAGCCUGGACCAUCGCAGCAAGAGGAUUGCUCCCCCCCACCUCCAGAAGAGGGGGACAAGGAGGUCUACACCCCCAACCAGGAAGGUGUUCCCGUUCCUCCUGUACAACAAACGGGUGAGGAGGAAGAGUCGGCGGAGCAGGCAGAGGAGGAGCAGCCUGGACCAUCACAACAAGGGGAUUCCUCCCCCCCACCUCCAGAAGAGGGGGACAAGGAGGUCUACACCCCCCAUCAGGAGGUUAUUAGAAAACUUAAAAGGAGGCUCCUUGAGCAUCGGAAAUCGGAAGCCAAGGCAAUGCUGGCUAUAAAAGCAGAGAAAAAAAUAUAUAGGGCUACUUCAGGGUCGCUUACAGAGGCAUCAGCGUCAGCUGGAUGAUGCAUACAAGAAGCUGGAGGAGCAGAGGAAGAUCCAGAAUGAAGAGCUCCUGGAGAUCCAGAAGGAACUCCAAAGU
Long non-coding RNA from Bufo bufo (common toad), 693 nucleotides. RefSeq lists it as uncharacterized. The transcript has 4 exons. NCBI's taxonomy places the organism in Eukaryota, Metazoa, Chordata, Amphibia, Anura, Bufonidae. The record is from RefSeq and is a predicted model, not a curated record.